CCAAUAGCGUAUAUUAAAGUUGUUGCAGUUAAAAAGCUCGUAGUUGAAUUUCGGGACCGGUGGGUCGGUCGUGCCUCCGGUACGCACUGUCUUUACCGGUUCCUCCCUUCUGAAGAACCGCGAUGUCAUUAAUUUGGUGUUGCGGGGAAUCAGGACUGUUACUGUGAAAAAAUUAGAGUGUUUAAAGCAGGCUAAAGCUUGAAUACAUUAGCAUGGAAUAAUGAAAUAGGACGUUUGAUCUUAUUUUGUUGGUUUCUAAGAUCGACGUAAUGAUUAAUAGGGAUAGUUGGGGGCAUUAGUAUUCAAUUGUCAGAGGUGAAAUUCUUGGAUUUAUUGAAGACUAACUACUGCGAAAGCAUUUGCCAAGGAUGUUUUCAUUAAUCAAGAACGAAAGUUAGGGGAUCGAAGACGAUCAGAUACCGUCGUAGUCUUAACCAUAAACUAUGCCGACUAGGGAUCGGAUGAUGUUAAUUUUUAAUGACUCAUUCGGCGCCUUACG
RNAcentral lists this ribosomal RNA (499 nucleotides) under uncultured Glomeromycotina. RNAcentral describes it as "partial small subunit ribosomal RNA". It matches the Rfam family "Eukaryotic small subunit ribosomal RNA", at positions 591 to 1092 of the family's 1831-position model. The record is from RNAcentral. Lineage: Eukaryota; Fungi; Glomeromycota.